Non-coding RNA from Hesseltinella vesiculosa, 72 nucleotides. The record is from the annotation of a GenBank genome assembly. Lineage: Eukaryota; Fungi; Mucoromycota; Mucoromycetes; Mucorales; Cunninghamellaceae.
GUCGGAAUAGUAUAGUGGUUAGUACUCCACGUUGUGGCCGUGAAGACCUGGGUUCGAUUCCCAGUUCCGACA